UACAUUGGCCAUUGAUCCCUUAAAGGCAUCACUUCUCCAUAUUAUUUCCUUUCUUCUACCCCUUAAAAGUUUUUUGGAAAUUUUACUAGCCAUAUUUGGAAGACUAGUGCGGAAAUUUUACGACGAAAUGAGAUGGUUUCACGGUGGCGGUGCCGCCAAGGGUCGCCGAUAUUUGCCACAAAUCUUAAUGGCAUUGGCCAUAUUGGCGGUUGCUAAUGUAGUGUCAGCAGAUCCUUAUAUAUAUUCUUCUC
Molecule: long non-coding RNA, 251 nt
Filed under: Nicotiana benthamiana
Lineage: Eukaryota; Viridiplantae; Streptophyta; Magnoliopsida; Solanales; Solanaceae
Description: long non-coding RNA (NBEN_LNC002211)
Source: RNAcentral